Molecule: ribosomal RNA, 497 nt
Filed under: uncultured bacterium
Lineage: Bacteria
Description: partial 16S ribosomal RNA
Rfam family: Bacterial small subunit ribosomal RNA
Source: RNAcentral
GGGGGGGGGGGGGGGGGGGGGGGGGGGGGGCGGGGGGGGCGGGCAGACGGGGAGGGUGGGGGGGGGGGGGGAGGGGGGGAGGGGUGAGUAACACGUGGAUAACCUACCUAGACGACGGGGAUAACUGCGGGAAACCGGAGCUAAUACCGGAUAAGAUAUUGGACCGCAUGGUACAGUAGGUAAAGACGGGUUUGCGGUCACUUAUAGAUGGAUCCGCGCCGCAGUAGCUAGUUGGUAAGGUAAAGGGCUACCACGGCAACGAUGCGUAGCCGACCUGAGAGGGUGAUCGGCCACACUGGAACUGAGACACGGUCCAGCCUCCUACGGGAGGCAGCAGUAGGGAAUCUUCCGCAAUGGGCGAAAGCCUGACGGAGCAACGCCGCGUGAGUGAUGAAGGUCUUCGGAUCGUAAAACUCUGUUAUUAGGGAAGAACAAAUGUGUAAGUAACUAUGCACGUCUUGACGGUACCUAAUCAGAAAGCCACGGCUAACUACGUG